Long non-coding RNA from Toxorhynchites rutilus septentrionalis, 2572 nucleotides. RefSeq lists it as uncharacterized. The transcript has 4 exons. Lineage: Eukaryota; Metazoa; Arthropoda; Insecta; Diptera; Culicidae. The record is from RefSeq and is a predicted model, not a curated record.
AACAAUUUUUUUUUCGCAAAAUUCAAUUUUAUUAUUCAACAUAAUUGCCUUCGAGGGUGAUACAGCGAUUAUAGCGAUCAUGCAACUUUUCGAUACCAUUUUUAUAGUUCUCUUUCGGUUUUUCCUCAAAAUAAGCCCCAGUGUCGGUAAUUCGGUAAUUUCGGUAAAUUCGGUAAUAUUCCACAGUUGCAAUAGCUGGAGCAGAGUCCGGAUAACUUUUGUCGAGCCAUGCUUGGUUUGCACUGUAUUUUUUCCAUCAAAAAGCAAUGCUUUAUCAAUACACCAAAUUCGGAUUUUUCCAUUUUUUUCACAAUAACAAAAGUUGCUCAGCCGAACUGUUAGUCCUCACAUUCCUGUAUCAUUGUCCCUUUUCGUUCGAUUAGUUUAUUAUUUCGUUCCGAAUUUUUCUCUAGAUUUUUCCUAGCAGUUCUAUGGCAUGCUGCAUUCUAGUGAUGCUGUAUAAGUUUAUCAACCGACGAGCAACCAAGGCUAAGACAAUUAAUCACAUAAUCACCACAGAUAAACCAGUUCUCUGCCGACUGCCGGUGGACAAACUGCAUGAAGCUAAAGUUGAAUUUGAUUUUAAUGAGUCGAGCAAUAAAAGUCCACGUCUUCGAAAAGCUGCUGGGCCAGCCCGCUGCACGUGGUGAGGAACAGGAUGUAUAGAAGUAUUACUAAGCAUGAAACGACGACCCCAAAGUCUGUGAUGGAAUUUGGUUGGAGUUUACAUUGACCAGGAACAAUCGCAGCUGAAAUUCUUACUGGAUCGUGUCAUUUUUUAUUUGCACCAGUCUAAGGAAUGCAUCCGAGUCCAUCCGAACCUGUUAUCAUCCUUGCCAUCAGUUUCUGGAAUGCGCCAAGAGCUUAACCGUUACUUCGGUACAGGUACACGUCGGAAAGAUGAAUAAUACUGGGGACACGUUUGCCGACUAGUUUGAUGCGAAUAUCUCCGGGCGUUGGGAGAGUGUGGUUUGCUCCAAGCGCUGCCUCGAGUCCGGUGGAAUAAUCGGCGCAGAUACGCAUAUAUGCCAAUGAUAAAGAGCUGCCCGAUCGGAGAAUUCGAUGAGCGUGAUAAUAUCCAUACGUUGGAGCAGUUCCGAUUCUUCUUCUACUUUUUAAGCGGCACAGAAAGGAACCGCUCGCUUGUAUCAAAAAAUUGACUGCCUAUCGUGUUUUAGGUUCAGACGAACUUUAGUUUUAGUGCAGUGACUCAGAUGUUAUUAAAAAAAACUUCGAAGCCCCGAGUUAGGAAGUGCUAAUCAUUACAAAGGAACUUGGAAAGUUUCACCUGAUUGCAGUGUGCAGCAAGUGGUUUCAACCAAAGAUCGAAUGCAUUCAUCAGUCCAUUCCAAUUACGUUUAGAUAUUUGACCGAAAUUACGUUGAAAUACUCCAUUCGAACUGGCUUAUGAUGUUCAAUGUACUGAACUCCCCUACCGAAUCAAGAGGUUCUUCAUGCACGAAUGUUACAUCCAUUUGUGUGGAAUUGAACGUAGGUCAAUAAUCUUAUAAUUUUUUUGUGUGAUCACCGAAAUGUCGAAACAAAAGUCGAGCUUAAGAUCCGCUUAGGAGCCGUAGAAGUUGACGGAAACAUAUCUCGUACGACUCUGUAUAUGCAUCACUGACUGAAUCGUCUUCAUUUGCGUUUUCUUGUCUUUCUUGUUGACCUUCUUGUCGCCUGCGGAUGUUGACUGAGGACUGACAAUGCUCUGAAAUGCAUAGCUCCACACUAUCAGCACGGAAAUGGAGAAGUUUUACCGUCUGUUGUUGUUGGUUUUGAUUGACUGUUUCUUGAUCUGUCGAACCGCCUAAACCGAAGCUGAACGAUUCUUCCACCAACGCCACAUCAUGCUUGAGGUUUGACAGGCCCUGGCAUUCGGUCAUCAAACCAUAGGUGUUCACAUCGGAUGUAUCGGAGCUUCGAUAGGAUAUGGGUGUCUGUCGUCGUUUUGAGGCUGCAGUUGAACACCAAAUGCCUCGCACUCGCACGGUUCACCACCCCGGCACAAGUGACGAAAUUAUCGGCUUCGUUCUUAAUAAGGUGAAUGCAAUCGUAAUGUUUACAGAACAAAGACUUUUGCUGUCCAAAUAUCGACUUCGGCUUCAACUUGUCCACAACCUGAUGGAACGUGAAAUUGCGUUGUUCAUAUGACAAAAGAAAAUUCAAAACCGUAACGCUGAGGUUACACAGUGGAGCCGCACCUUUCCCAAGUCAUUCAGGGUGCUACCAUCCUGCCUGAAGCAGUCUUAGUACUUUAAGAACCAUUGGUCGAACGUGCACACAUUUUAUGGUCCGAAGUGAAACUCCUUGAUGGCAGCGGAGAGUUCAAUAAUGUGUUUUAGUAUUCUCAAAUCUUUAAACUCAUCGCCAAAAAUUAAACAUAACAUAAAACAAGUUUGAGGAACAAACGACAUUUACAGUAGAACCCCAAUUAUCCGCGAUGCGUACAGGUCAUAACUUAAUAUGGUCAGAAAACUGCGAUCGUUCUGAAAUUUUAGCAAAAUGCUUUUAGAUUUUCUACUAUACAAAAAACUAAAAACAGAUUUAAAAAAAUCAAACCAAAAUUAUAACU